Neofelis nebulosa (Clouded leopard) is the source of this 518-nucleotide long non-coding RNA. RefSeq lists it as uncharacterized. NCBI's taxonomy places the organism in Eukaryota, Metazoa, Chordata, Mammalia, Carnivora, Felidae. The transcript is spliced from 2 exons. The record is from RefSeq and is a predicted model, not a curated record.
CUUCAACACUCCAACAGCAGCUGUAGUCUGUCGUUCAAAACCUUGUCCUAUAUGAUCUGCAUGGGCUCUUGUCCUGUCUUCAAAGAGCAUCUCACGGGGCUCACUGGUUCGAGCUGAGAAAUCGGAGACAAAGAGCUGAAGUAGCAGGCUAGUGUCGCAGUGGGUAAAUGGCAAGACCCUGACUAGACCCCUUCUCUUUCCAUCCACCCCACAUCAGAGUUCAAGCAGCUAUUCACACUAACCCAGUCACAACUCACUACAAUGACUAUAAGAUAUUACUACAAAUUAAAUUUUGAAGAGAGGUUCUCACAUUCAGGACAAGAAAAGGCUCAAGUUAUAAACUGGUUUAGCUCUAAAUACAUGUUUAUAACUUUGUAAUUCAUAAAGCAUUUUCCCAAAUAAAAACCUAUACAAACGGUUAAAUAAUUUCCUGGAGGGAUACCACAAAUUAGGUUAAGAGAUGGGGGUUUACUGGGAAGAAUCAAGAAACCAGAAAUAAAAAUAAGCUACAAAAAGUA